RNAcentral lists this ribosomal RNA (588 nucleotides) under uncultured bacterium. RNAcentral describes it as "partial 16S ribosomal RNA". It matches the Rfam family "Bacterial small subunit ribosomal RNA", at positions 354 to 1375 of the family's 1533-position model. The record is from RNAcentral.
UGGGGGAAUUUUGGACAAUGGGCGAAAGCCUGAUCCAGCAAUGCCGCGUGUGUGAAGAAGGCCUUCGGGUUGUAAAGCACUUUUGUCCGGAAAGAAAUCCUUGGCUCUAAUACAGUCGGGGGAUGACGGUACCGGAAGAAUAAGCACCGGCUAACUACGUGCCAGCAGCCGCGGUAAUACGUAGGGUGCAAGCGUUAAUCGGAAUUACUGGGCGUAAAGCGUGCGCAGGCGGUUUGCUAAGACCGAUGUGAAAUCCCCGGGCUCAACCUGGGAACUGCAUUGGUGACUGGCAGGCUAGAGUAUGGCAGAGGGGGGUAGAAUUCCACGUGUAGCAGUGAAAUGCGUAGAGAUGUGGAGGAAUACCGAUGGCGAAGGCAGCCCCUUGGGCCAAUACUGACGCUCAUGCACGAAAGCGUGGGGGAGCAAACAGGAUUAGAUACCCUGGUAGUCCACGCCCUAAACGAUGUCAACUAGUUGUUGGGGAUUCAUUUCCUUAGUAACGUAGCUAACGCGUGAAGUUGACCGCCUGGGGGAGUACGGUCGCAAGAUUAAAACUCAAAGGAAUUGACGGGGUCAUAGCUGUUUCCU